UAGGAAGUGGUGUAGUGGAAGCACUAGGAGUUUUGAUCUCCUCUGAUUGGGUUCGAGUCCCUUCUUUCUAA
This 71-nucleotide transfer RNA is filed under the name Thaumatichthys pagidostomus. Its description in RNAcentral is "tRNA-Gln". It matches the Rfam family "tRNA". From Rfam's summary of the family: Transfer RNA (tRNA) molecules are approximately 80 nucleotides in length. Their secondary structure includes four short double-helical elements and three loops (D, anti-codon, and T loops). Lineage: Eukaryota; Metazoa; Chordata; Actinopteri; Lophiiformes; Thaumatichthyidae. The record is from RNAcentral.